This 952-nucleotide long non-coding RNA is filed under the name Homo sapiens (human). Its description in RNAcentral is "HSALNT0389649". Lineage: Eukaryota; Metazoa; Chordata; Mammalia; Primates; Hominidae. The record is from RNAcentral.
CCUCAAGUGAUCUGCCCGCCUCGGCCUCCCAAAGUGCUAGCAUUACAGGCGUGAGCCACCGCGCCUGGCCGUAUUUAUUAAAUGUGUGUUGAACUUACGUACCCGAGCACAGGCUAGACACUAGGGAGGGGAACGGGCGGUGAUUAGAAAUGAACAAGAUCCUGCCAAGAGGAAUUCACAGUCUAGCGCGCGAGGCAGACCAGAAUGGCUGAGGCAAGAAACCUGUGCCAGGGCCUGGAGUAGGCUCAGAGGCUGUUGGUGAGGCAAAAAGCAUGUUGGCUUUGGAGCCCAGCUCAUCUGGUUUCAAAUCCUAGUUCUGUCAUUUACCAGCUACGUGACAUUGGGCACGUGACUCAAUCUCCCUGAGCCUCAGUUUCCUCGUCUAUAGAAUACAGGCAUUAAUACCUACAUUUCAGGGUUAUUGUAAAACUUAAUUGAGGUGAGAAAAAUGUAUGUAGGUGUCUGGCAUAUGGUACUUAAUAAAUGGUAAAUUUUAAAAUGUCUUUGCUUAUUUUGGUAGUCUGAUAGCUUCUAAAGAUAUGUCCAUGUUCUAAUCCCCAGAACCUGUGAAUGUUACCUUAACUGGAAAAUGGGUUCAUCUUUGAGGAUGUGAUUAAGAAUCUUGAGAUGGGGAGAUUAUUCUGGAUUAUCCAGGUGGGCCCUAAAUGCCAACACAAGUGUCCUUAUGAAAGAGAGAGAGAGAGAGAAAUUAUACAUAUAUCAAAGAGUAGAAGGUGAUGUGAAGACAGAGGCAGAAACUGCAGUGAUGGGGCCACAAGCAAAGGAAUGCUAGUAGCCACUAGAAGCUGAAAGAGACAAGGAACAGAUUCUCCUCUAGAGCCUCCAGAAAGAGCAUACCCCUGCCAACACUUUGAUUUUGGUAUAAUAAAAUGGAUGUUGAACCUCUGAUCUCCAGAAGUGUAAGAGAAUAAACUUCAGUUGUUUUAAGACA